ACGAUAUGCUUUGGGGAGCUGUAAGUAAGCUUUGAUCCAGAGAUUUCCGAAUGGGGAAACCCAGCAUGAGUUAUGUCAUGUUAUCGAUAUGUGAAUACAUAGCAUAUCAGAAGGCACACCCGGAGAACUGAAACAUCUUAGUACCCGGAGGAAGAGAAAGAAAAUUCGAUUCCCUUAGUAGCGGCGAGCGAAACGGGAAGAGCCCAAACCAACAAGCUUGCUUGUUGGGGUUGUAGGACACUCUAUACGGAGUUACAAAGGACGACAUUAGACGAAUCAUCUGGAAAGAUGAAUCAAAGAAGGUAAUAAUCCUGUAGUCGAAAAUGUUGUCUCUCUUGAGUGGAUCCUGAGUACGACGGAGCACGUGAAAUUCCGUCGGAAUCUGGGAGGACCAUCUCCUAAGGCUAAAUACUCUCUAGUGACCGAUAGUGAACCAGUACCGUGAGGGAAAGGUGAAAAGCACCCCGGAAGGGGAGUGAAAUAGAACCUGAAACCGUGUGCUUACAAGUAGUCAGAGCCCGUUAAUGGGUGAUGGCGUGCCUUUUGUAGAAUGAACCGGCGAGUUACGAUUUGAUGCAAGGUUAAGCAGUAAAUGUGGAGCCGUAGCGAAAGCGAGUCUGAAUAGGGCGUUUAGUAUUUGGUCGUAGACCCGAAACCAGGUGAUCUACCCUUGGUCAGGUUGAAGUUCAGGUAACACUGAAUGGAGGACCGAACCGACUUACGUUGAAAAGUGAGCGGAUGAACUGAGGGUAGCGGAGAAAUUCCAAUCGAACCUGGAGAUAGCUGGUUCUCUCCGAAAUAGCUUUAGGGCUAGCCUCAAGUGAUGAUUAUUGGAGGUAGAGCACUGUUUGGACGAGGGGCCCCUCUCGGGUUACCGAAUUCAGACAAACUCCGAAUGCCAAUUAAUUUAACUUGGGAGUCAGAACAUGGGUGAUAAGGUCCGUGUUCGAAAGGGAAACAGCCCAGACCACCAGCUAAGGUCCCAAAAUAUAUGUUAAGUGGAAAAGGAUGUGGCGUUGCCCAGACAACUAGGAUGUUGGCUUAGAAGCAGCCAUCAUUUAAAGAGUGCGUAAUAGCUCACUAGUCGAGUGACACUGCGCCGAAAAUGUACCGGGGCUAAACAUAUUACCGAAGCUGUGGAUUGUCCUUUGGACAAUGGUAGGAGAGCGUUCUAAGGGCGUUGAAGCAUGAUCGUAAGGACAUGUGGAGCGCUUAGAAGUGAGAAUGCCGGUGUGAGUAGCGAAAGACGGGUGAGAAUCCCGUCCACCGAUUGACUAAGGUUUCCAGAGGAAGGCUCGUCCGCUCUGGGUUAGUCGGGUCCUAAGCUGAGGCCGACAGGCGUAGGCGAUGGAUAACAGGUUGAUAUUCCUGUACCACCUAUAAUCGUUUUAAUCGAUGGGGGGACGCAGUAGGAU
Molecule: ribosomal RNA, 1415 nt
Filed under: Staphylococcus aureus
Lineage: Bacteria; Bacillati; Bacillota; Bacilli; Caryophanales; Staphylococcaceae
Description: partial 23S ribosomal RNA
Rfam family: Bacterial large subunit ribosomal RNA
Source: RNAcentral